Long non-coding RNA from Panthera uncia (snow leopard), 1442 nucleotides. RefSeq lists it as uncharacterized. The record is from RefSeq and is a predicted model, not a curated record. NCBI's taxonomy places the organism in Eukaryota, Metazoa, Chordata, Mammalia, Carnivora, Felidae. The transcript is spliced from 3 exons.
CUAAGGCUUGGCUGUUCUCUAAAAUCCUGGAUGCCCUGCAGGCUCUGAAAUGACACCUGAGGGAGACGUGAGAACAGAAGGACCUCGCAGAUACGAGCGGAGCAGCAGUGUGUGAGUCCGGGCAUGGACAGAAGCAGGUGCUCACGCGUGCUGCCCAGAACCUGCAGUCCAGGGGCAGCGGUGCUAUACUUGGAUCCUUGCUCCUAAAUGGACUCUAAGCUACCUCCCGGCUGCUGGUGAUGGAAGAGAGCACCAGGGACCUGUCACUCCUGCCUCAUACCUCGCAGAUGAACAAGGCAGACUGGCCGGAAAUUCCAGAAUACAUCAUGCUACCUGCACCGGUCUGGCUCAGGCUACCGUAACAAAGCCCACAGGCUGGGGGCUUAAACAAUGGAAAUUUAUUUCCUCACGGUUCUGGAGGCUAGAAGUCCAAGAUCAAUAAAAAGUGUUGGCAGGUUUGGUUUCUCUGAGGCCUCUCUCCUUGGCUUGCAGACACAUGGCCUUUCCUCUGUGUGUCUUUUCCUGUCUCUUUGUGUGUCCAAAUUUCUUCUUCUUAUAAGGGAACCAGUCAGAUUGGAUUAGGGCCCACCCAUAUGACAUCAUUCAACCUUAAUUACUUCUUUAAAGGCCCUAUCGCCAAAUACAGCCACUUUCUGAGUUAUUGGGGUUUAGCGCUCAUACAAAUAUUAUGGGGGACACAGUUCAGCUCAUAAUAUGACGUUCCUUUUCCGGGUGUUUGCUCGUGUUGCCUUUCUCUCUGCCUGGAACACUGUCCACAUUCUCUCCUCCCAUCCCCUGAAGACAGCCUCCUACUCAUCGUCUAAAACUCAGAGCAUCACCACCACCAAGAAGGCUUCCUGGCUAGACUGCUAUCUCCUCUGGCUUCCCACAGCACCCUACCCAUAUCAUGGCAGGCACCACACUCUAAGAACUGUCUUUUCGUAUUGCCUGUCUCCCCUGCUCAGGUAGAUGUCUAUUGUUUUGAUCUGUACAGCAUUUUCUCUGCCCCUUCCUCACAUGGAAGAAAUGACACUCCCACUGGUACCUCCCCUCCUCACGGCCUCAUUUAACCUUUCACCUCCUCACAGGGCCCAUCUCCCCAGUCACCCUGGGGGUUAGGGCUUCAAGAUAUGAAUGAGGGCAGGAGGGACACAAACAUUCAGUCCACAACAGUUGGUGAGAAUGUGGAGGAAUUAGGACUCUCAUAUCUUGUUGGUGGGAAUGCAAAAUGGGGCACCAAAUCAUGGUUCCUGCUGCUUGCCACUGGGAUGAGCAUGUGACUCCUUCCUUGAGCUUUUCGUCUGUGAAUGCUGGGUGAGAAGAUACUUCCAUUUCCCCUGGGGUCCAGAACGAUGUAAGCCUGGAGCUUUGUGUGGCCGUGCCCCACUCUCCUCCCACCACGAAGGGCCUCAGAGGAAACACCUACUGUGGGCCAGAUUCUU